UACAGAGGGUGCGAGCGUUAAUCGGAAUUCCUGGGCGUAAAGCGUGCGUAGACGGUCAUGUAAGUCGGAUGUGAAAGCCCCGGGCUCAACCUGGGAAUUGCAUUCGAGACUGCAAGGCUUGGGUGCGGAAGAGGGGAGCGGAAUUUCCGGUGUAGCGGUGAAAUGCGUAGAUAUCGGAAGGAACACCAGUGGCGAAAGCGGCUUCCUGGUCCGACACCGACGUUCAGGCACGAAAGCGUGGGGAGCAAACAGG
This 253-nucleotide ribosomal RNA is filed under the name uncultured bacterium. Its description in RNAcentral is "partial 16S ribosomal RNA". It matches the Rfam family "Bacterial small subunit ribosomal RNA", at positions 524 to 776 of the family's 1533-position model. The record is from RNAcentral.